GAGGGUAUAGGUCAGUGGUAGUGUGCCUGCCUCGUGUGCAUAAGGUCCUGGGUUCAAUCCCCAGUACCUCCA
This 72-nucleotide transfer RNA is filed under the name Camelus bactrianus (Bactrian camel). It matches the Rfam family "tRNA". From Rfam's summary of the family: Transfer RNA (tRNA) molecules are approximately 80 nucleotides in length. Their secondary structure includes four short double-helical elements and three loops (D, anti-codon, and T loops). Further hydrogen bonds mediate the characteristic L-shaped molecular structure. tRNAs have two regions of fundamental functional importance: the anti-codon, which is responsible for specific mRNA codon recognition, and the 3' end, to which the tRNAs corresponding amino acid is attached (by aminoacyl-tRNA synthetases). tRNAs cope with the degeneracy of the genetic code in two manners: having more than one tRNA (with a specific anti-codon) for a particular amino acid; and 'wobble' base-pairing, i.e. permitting non-standard base-pairing at the 3rd anti-codon position. RNAcentral also lists the same sequence under 1 other name. Lineage: Eukaryota; Metazoa; Chordata; Mammalia; Artiodactyla; Camelidae. The record is from Rfam by way of RNAcentral.